This is a non-coding RNA of Taeniopygia guttata (zebra finch), 467 nucleotides long. The record is from RefSeq and is a predicted model, not a curated record. NCBI's taxonomy places the organism in Eukaryota, Metazoa, Chordata, Aves, Passeriformes, Estrildidae.
AAAAAGCAGUCCUAGAGACAGGAACCAAAGCUGCACAAGCCUUUGCAACAAAACCAUAGGCGAGAAUCAGGAUUGUCUUUGCCUGUAUUCAUUCUGGACAUGUUCUUUUACACCUGCCAGAGGAAAGGCCCAGCUUUGAUCAGAGAGAUUGAGACAUUCUUCCUAAGGAUACCCCAUAGCUCAGCUGUGGUGGCGUUUUGAAGUUUCUCUUCAGAGUAGAGAAAAGUUGCUGCUAUUUUGGUCAAUGGUGUGAGAAGGAAUUUAAAGCAAGAUAGCUGGACUUCCUCCUUCAGACCUGAAGAAGCAUUUCUGUCCCCAUGGAUUUAGGACUUUCCAGAACAACACAUCUGUCACCAAAGGAUGAUAUUUAUAGAGUUCAAAUAUUGGAAUUAUACUGAAGAUUAAGUAGAAUACAACCACAACACUGGAGUAAUACUUCAACGAGUCAUUACAUAAAUAAAGCACUA